This 515-nucleotide ribosomal RNA is filed under the name bacterium symbiont of Megymenum gracilicorne. RNAcentral describes it as "bacterial SSU rRNA". It matches the Rfam family "Bacterial small subunit ribosomal RNA", at positions 527 to 1041 of the family's 1533-position model. The record is from RNAcentral.
GGAGAGGGCUAGCGUUAUUCGGAAUUAUUGGGCGUAAAGGGCGCGUAGGCGGAUUAGUAAGUUAAAAGUGAAAUCCCAAGGCUCAACCUUGGAAUUGCUUUUAAAACUGCUAAUCUAGAGAUUGAAAGAGGAUAGAGGAAUUCCUAGUGUAGAGGUGAAAUUCGUAAAUAUUAGGAGGAACACCAGUGGCGAAGGCGUCUAUCUGGUUCAAAUCUGACGCUGAGGCGCGAAGGCGUGGGGAGCAAACAGGAUUAGAUACCCCGGUAGUCCACGCUGUAAACGAUGAAUGUUAAAUAUGGGGAGUUUACUUUCUGUAUUACAGCUAACGCGUUAAACAUUCCGCCUGGGGACUACGGUCGCAAGAUUAAAACUCAAAGGAAUUGACGGGGACCCGCACAAGCGGUGGAGCAUGUGGUUUAAUUCGAUGCAACGCGAAAAACCUUACCACUCCUUGACAUGGAAAUUAUACCUAUUCGAAGGGAUAGGGUCGGUUCGGCCGGGUUUCACACAGGUGU